RNAcentral lists this unclassified non-coding RNA (1392 nucleotides) under uncultured apicomplexan. Its description in RNAcentral is "sequence contains 18S rRNA gene, ITS1, 5.8S rRNA gene, ITS2, 28S rRNA gene". The stretch from base 455 to 1392 matches the Rfam family "Eukaryotic large subunit ribosomal RNA", at positions 1 to 961 of the family's 3401-position model. The record is from RNAcentral. Lineage: Eukaryota; Apicomplexa.
AGAAGGAUCAUUCACAAUGCAUACGUAAGCAUUAUGCAUGCAUACAGGCACAGUACUGGAUGUAUGCCAACUUUCAUGUGAAAAACGAACUUAAGGAAAUUGGUGAAAAUCGUGAGACAAACGAACUGAGAGAAACUGGUUAAUCAUUGCAAUUGAUAGAGUAUUAUUAAAUACACGACUUUCAGCGAUGGAUGUCUCGGAUCUCGUAACGAUGAAGGACGCAGCUAGCUGCGAUACGCAGUGUGACUUGCAAACUUCAGAGAAUCACUAGAUUUUUGAACGCAAAAGGCACUCUUGAGUUCUGCUCAGGAGUAUGUUCACUUCAGUGCUUUAUAUGUUUGUUGUCUUAAUUGGUAGACAACGUGGAUAGUUGCUGUUCUUACGGCUUCUGAAAUCGAAUGGUCUUGCCUCUUUGGUGAUCCCUUAGAGACGACGACCUAGUUGUUAUUCAAACAAGCCUGAAUUUGAGCAAGGCUACCCGCUGAAUUUAAGCAUAUUAUUAAGCGGAGGAAAAGAAACUAACUAGGAUUCCCUUAGUAACGGCGAGUGAACAGGGAAGAGCUCAAACUGAAAAUCAGCAGCUUGCUGUUGAAUUGUAGUCUCACGAAGUGCAGCCUGUGUUUGUUCUAGGUUAAGUCUCUUGAAAAAGAGUUCCAGAGAGGGUGAAAGACCCGUCUUUGCCUAGAAAUAUUCACGUUCGGUGCAUUUUCAAAGAGUCGCGUUCCUUGAGAUUGGAGCGCUAAUUGGGUGAUAAAUUUCAUCUAAAGCUAAAUACUAACGAGAUUCCGAUAGCAUACAAGUACCGUGAGGGAAAGAUGAAAAGGACUUUGAAAAGAGAGUUAAAAGGAACUGAAAUCGCUGAAAGGGAAGCGGACAGUCUCGACGGUCUAGCAAUACUCGCUGUUUGGCCUGUUACUGACUGGCUUUGAACGGCUAGAGUUCUGCGGUGACUCUGGAAAUGGUUGUCGAAAUUGAGCAAGACAUUGAUGGGUUCCCUUUGGGUUCACGCCUUUGUUGUUUUCAGUUCGCACGACUUCUAUCCUAGUGCUUCACUUUAGUGGUAGCGCUAUACUAUUCCAGACAAGUCGUUUCUGUCCGUCCCGUCUUGAAACACGGACCAAGGAGUCUAACUUAUGUGCGAGUACAAGGGUGGAAAACCCACGUGCGAAAUGAAAGUAAAUGUCAGGAAGGGCAACCUGCACUGACGCCCGGCUACCAAGCUGAGGCUGAGCAUAUAGGUUAGGACCCGAAAGAUGGUGAACUAUGCCUGAGUAGGGUGAAGCCAGAGGAAACUCUGGUGGAAGCUCGUAGCGAUACUGACGUGCAAAUCGUUCGUCAAACUUGGGUAUAGGGGCGAAAGACUAAUCGAACCAUCUAGUAGCUGGUUCCCUC